This is a long non-coding RNA of Nicotiana tabacum (common tobacco), 1056 nucleotides long. RefSeq lists it as uncharacterized. Lineage: Eukaryota; Viridiplantae; Streptophyta; Magnoliopsida; Solanales; Solanaceae. The record is from RefSeq and is a predicted model, not a curated record.
CGGCACUUUCUCCAACAUCACUUCUCUUCUCUUUCCCUUUUUGCCAUUCCCUUCGCUCUCCUUUCCCUUUCAUUUCUUUGAUAGCUUAUCUCAUGGCACACAAUACCACCCACAGGGACCCUUUAACACUAUAGACAACAUCUCCAACCAAUUUUCCCAGCUAAAUUCAAAUCACAAAAACCUCAAAUCUUCCUUAAAACAUCCAUCUGGGCAUUCAUAUUCUUCAGAUGACAACCAUUUAAAGCUCAAAUCUUUGACUGAUUCAGCUGCUUUUGACUCUUCAAGUGCAGCGUUGACCAAGUCAAAGAGCCAACAUGGGAGCUCUAAGGAAAGAAAAUAUGUCAAUGAAUCUCACAACAAAGACCAUGAUAUUGAAAAAGCAAUAGUUGUGCAGAAAAAAGAAACAAUCAAGAAAGUUUCUUCCCAUAAGGGGAAAGAGUUCCACAAAGAGGUGGAUGUUAAAAGGGAAUUUGUCUAUUUGUCUAGGAGUCAAGAAAAUGAAAGGCUAAAGGGGUUUGAACAAGGGGUUGAUGAGAUAAAAAGCAAUCUUUAUUAAGGAGGAAAUCAUUCUGCAGUUCACAGAUUGAGUUGGCUGAUUUCUUCUCUUGUAAUGGUGUGAAAGUUGUAUCUGUAGACAUGCCACUUUUUAUGCAGAUUCAUGAUGUCAAUUGUGCAAGAAAAACUCAUGAUAGCUUGGAAAAGUUCACAUCUAAAGCUCUUGCUUUGACCCUAAAAAAGGAGUUUGAUGGGGUCUAUGGAACAGCAUGGCAUUGUAUAGUAGGGACCAGCUUUGGUUCUUUUGUGACACAUUCUGUUGGUGGUUUUAUAUAUUUUUCUGUGGAUCACAAGCUAUAUGUACUCCUCUUCAAGACUAGUGUACAAAUAGCAGAAUCUAGUUGAAAAAUCUUGAGUUGAAGUUUGUUUUAGUACAUAGGGAAAUUUUGGUUAAAAUGUGAUGUCUACUAUGCAGUUCUGUUCAUUAGAUUUGCUAAGAAAAAUAUGGGUUCAUUAUCAUUGUAAUGUUGAUAAACAAAUGUACAAUGGUAUAAUUCAUCA